CAGUGAACUUGGAAGAAGAAGCUGUCUCGAUACCUUUGAAGAUCCUUUCAUGUUAUGUGUGACAAGACCUACUGAACAUGCUGUGACAAAAUAAUCACAGAUCUCAGUGGAAGCUUCCAUGUUUACAGCAAUGCCUCCAUGAGAUUUGGAACAACAGACUUGUGUGUGAAGAUUAAAACGAGUCACUACGAUGAUUCAGAUGCUGCAGCUACAGGAUGUUACAGGAGACUGCCUGUCACCAUCACAAUCCUCUUACAGAUUUACUCCAGAUUGAUUUGGUGACAUAAUAAGGAUCUUACAGAACGGUCACCUUGUCUUCAAUAACCAGCAGGUAUGUGUUUAACCAGAUGACUGGGCUACGUGGAAACCACAAGAUGUGUGAUCGGUCUAUCAGAGCUAUUGUGUCAUAUUGUGUUUCUACUACACAUUUUUUUGUUUGAUCAAAUAGAACAACAUGG
Long non-coding RNA from Acanthochromis polyacanthus (spiny chromis), 458 nucleotides. RefSeq lists it as uncharacterized. Lineage: Eukaryota; Metazoa; Chordata; Actinopteri; Pomacentridae. The record is from RefSeq and is a predicted model, not a curated record. The transcript has 3 exons.